This is an RNA transcript of Lolium perenne, 1447 nucleotides long. RefSeq lists it as uncharacterized. The record is from RefSeq and is a predicted model, not a curated record. NCBI's taxonomy places the organism in Eukaryota, Viridiplantae, Streptophyta, Magnoliopsida, Poales, Poaceae.
UUUUACGGUGAUUGGCAAGUACUUCCUGGUACUACCCAGUACUACCGCUUGGAAUUAUUUCAGCCGUCGAUCUUACGCAAUAAAUUAUCAAUUCUUAAUUUACAUAACCAGGGGUAUUACUGUAACUUCUCAACCCGCAUAACCUGUCCGCUCGAGAGCACGAUCCAGUCAGGCAGAGGCGGGCGUUGCACGAUGGGGAUCUCGGCGAUGCAGCGAUCGCGCCGGGCCUCGCCGGUGCUCUCCGGGGAUUGGCCUCGCCGCUGUCUUUGGGGACUUCCCUGCACCUCUGCCCCCGUGCCCGCUGCCGCCCGCCUACCCUGGCCGCUGGAGAGCACGAUCCGGUCCGCGGCCUCUGCCCCCUGCGGCCCUGCCCCGCCGCCUCCUUCUUAUGAAUCGCCGCUGACGCCUCCUUCCGGCGAGAGGCCGAUCUGCCGCUCCCAGGUGAGAGUUUUGGUUGUACAGUUGUCGCGAGAGCAAGAGAUUGCUCGUGAAGUCCUGUAAUCAGAUAAUGCUGAUGGCGAAGACGGUGGUGAGAUGGAUGAUGCCUUAUCUGCACCUGCGCCUGGUGAGUACAAGGACUAGAAUUUAUAACAGUCCUAUCAUGCUACCUUGUUACUGCUUACCACUAGUCCACCAGUAAAAGGGUUCAUAGUUUGUAACUGUACUAAUCCUGGUGUUUGUAUAUUUGCAUGAUUGUCUUACUUCUCUGGACCAAUUGUUUUGUGUAUUUUCUGAUUAUUAUAGCUGAGGCUAUAUUGUGCUGACGGUGAACUUCUUUUUGGGUUUGUACAGCUUAUCUCCAUUUCCAUUAGUUGGAUAUGUUUCUUGUGGCUUGAGCAUAGCCGAGGUACAUUUUUCCUUGGUUGAGAGAUGAACCAGGCUUGAAUUUUACAGCAUGUAUGCAAUAAACUGAUGUAUUGUCUGCCCUACUUAAUAUUUCAUAGGAGCUCCAGCAAACCUAGACUCCAGUGCACUAGCACUACUAUUUCUUUUCCCAAACUUAACUCAUUGUUAUCUUAUGUGCUCUUGUUUAUGUGCCUGCAAGGAUCUUGUAUCUGUGAAGGAAUGCAUAAAGCAGUUCUUGGUCAGGCUGCCGAUCUGCCAAUUCAUCGUGCCGAGGAACCUGAAUCUCCUAGCCAUACCUCCGUCAGUCUCACAGGAAAAGAGAAGAGCAGCCGUAAACACGACCGUGUAGAUUGGACAAGAGAAGAACAGCCACAAAAAUGCUCCAAGUUGGUCUCAGUCGAGCCAAGGAGAGUGUAGUCUGAACCGAAGCGUGCAAUCGUCUGGGUGUAGUCAUCAAUAAAAUGUAAAACACUGAUAUGGUAUCAUAUGUAAUGCUGACGGUGGUGGGUUUUGUUAACCAGCUCGCUAGGUUCACAGGAACCUGUUCUGUGUAUUUUUGCAAAGAGAUAAUAAAAGAUGAUAUGAUGUUAAUCUUGUUGUA